Molecule: ribosomal RNA, 478 nt
Filed under: uncultured bacterium
Lineage: Bacteria
Description: bacterial SSU rRNA
Rfam family: Bacterial small subunit ribosomal RNA
Source: RNAcentral
AUUGAACGCUGGCGGAAUGCUUUACACAUGCAAGUCGAGCGGCAGCGCGGGGGCAACCCUGGCGGCGAGCGGCGAACGGGUGAGUAACGCAUCGGAACGUACCUUGUAGUGGGGGAUACCUAUCCGAAAGGAUAGCUAAUACCGCAUACGCCCUGAGGGGGAAAGGGGGGGAUCGCAAGACCUCUCGCUACAGGAGCGGCCGAUGUCCGAUUAGCUAGUUGGUGAGGUAAAGGCUCACCAAGGCGACGAUCGGUAGCUGGUCUGAGAGGAUGAUCAGCCACACUGGGACUGAGACACGGCCCAGACUCCUACGGGAGGCAGCAGUGGGGAAUUUUGGACAAUGGGGGGCAACCCUGAUCCAGCCAUUCCGCGUGAGUGAAGAAGGCCUUCGGUUGUAAGACUCUUUCUAGCCGGGAAGGAAAUACGUCUUGGAUAAUACCUCGAGGCGGAUGACGGUACCGGAAGAAGAAGCACCGGC